RNAcentral lists this ribosomal RNA (578 nucleotides) under uncultured bacterium. Its description in RNAcentral is "partial 16S ribosomal RNA". It matches the Rfam family "Bacterial small subunit ribosomal RNA", at positions 355 to 932 of the family's 1533-position model. The record is from RNAcentral.
UGGGGAAUUUUGGACAAUGGGCGAAAGCCUGAUCCAGCAAUGCCGCGUGUGUGAAGAAGGCCUUCGGGUUGUAAAGCACUUUUGUCCGGAAAGAAAUCCUUGGCUCUAAUACAGUCGGGGGAUGACGGUACCGGAAGAAUAAGCACCGGCUAACUACGUGCCAGCAGCCGCGGUAAUACGUAGGGUGCAAGCGUUAAUCGGAAUUACUGGGCAUAAAGCGUGCGCAGGCGGUUUGCUAAGACCGAUGUGAAAUCCCCGGGCUCAACCUGGGAACUGCAUUGGCGACUGGCAGGCUAGAGUAUGGCAGAGGGGGGUAGAAUUCCACGUGUAGCAGUGAAAUGCGUAGAGAUGUGGAGGAAUACCGAUGGCGAAGGCAGCCCCCUGGGCAAUACUGACGCUCAUGCACGAAAGCGUGGGGAGCAAACAGGAUUAGAUACCCUGGUAGUCCACGCCCUAAAACGAUGUCAACUAGUUGUUGGGGAUUCAUUUCCUAGUAACGUAGCUAACGCGUGAAGUUGACCGCCUGGGGAGUACGGUCGCAAGAUUAAAACUCAAAUGAAUUGACGGGGUCAUAGCUG